RNAcentral lists this ribosomal RNA (253 nucleotides) under uncultured prokaryote. Its description in RNAcentral is "partial 16S ribosomal RNA". It matches the Rfam family "Bacterial small subunit ribosomal RNA", at positions 524 to 776 of the family's 1533-position model. The record is from RNAcentral.
UACGAAGGUCCCAAGCGUUGUUCGGAAUCACUGGGCGUAAAGGGCGUGUAGGCGGGAAGGAAAGUCAGAUGUGAAAUCCCCAGGCUCAACCUGGGAACUGCAUUUGAAACUCCCUUUCUUGAGUACCGGAGAGGAAAGUGGAAUUCCUGGUGUAGAAGUGAAAUUCGUAGAUAUCAGGAGGAACACCAGUGGCGAAGGCGGCUUUCUGGACGGUAACUGACGCUGAGACGCGAAAGCGUGGGGAGCAAACAGG